AUACAGUAAUUAAGGUAAGAGUGAUGAAUUUAAAGGUUGAAUAAAAAUAUUUUAAGAUAAAUUACACCGCCGUUGAUGGUAUAAAUAGUUUGAGUUAUGUAAUAUGUUGUACAGGGGUGAGAUUGGCUGCGAUUGAUCUGUUGGCGUAGAGCUGUGAGGGUUGAGAAGAUGAGAUUAGAGUAUUUCAAUGGAGUAUUGAUUAGGUCGGUAUAUGUUGCUGAAAUUAGCAAGCUAAUUAAUACGUCUAUAUU
This 251-nucleotide long non-coding RNA is filed under the name Ananas comosus (pineapple). RNAcentral's name for it is "long non-coding RNA (ACOM_LNC001101)". Lineage: Eukaryota; Viridiplantae; Streptophyta; Magnoliopsida; Poales; Bromeliaceae. The record is from RNAcentral.